UUAAAUUGAAGAGUUUGAUCAUGGCUCAGAUUGAACGCUGGCGGCAGGCCUAACACAUGCAAGUCGAGCGGUAGCACAGAGAGCUUGCUCUCGGGUGACGAGCGGCGGACGGGUGAGUAAUGUCUGGGAAACUGCCUGAUGGAGGGGGAUAACUACUGGAAACGGUAGCUAAUACCGCAUAAUGUCGCAAGACCAAAGUGGGGGACCUUCGGGCCUCAUGCCAUCAGAUGUGCCCAGAUGGGAUUAGCUAGUAGGUGGGGUAACGGCUCACCUAGGCGACGAUCCCUAGCUGGUCUGAGAGGAUGACCAGCCACACUGGAACUGAGACACGGUCCAGACUCCUACGGGAGGCAGCAGUGGGGAAUAUUGCACAAUGGGCGCAAGCCUGAUGCAGCCAUGCCGCGUGUGUGAAGAAGGCCUCGGGUUGUAAAGCACUUUCAGCGGGGAGGAAGGCGAUAAGGUUAAUAACCUUGUCGAUUGACGUUACCCGCAGAAGAAGCACCGGCUAACUCCGUGCCAGCAGCCGCGGUAAUACGGAGGGUGCAAGCGUUAAUCGGAAUUACUGGGCGUAAAGCGCACGCAGGCGGUCUGUCAAGUCGGAUGUGAAAUCCCCGGGCUCAACCUGGGAACUGCAUUCGAAACUGGCAGGCUAGAGUCUUGUAGAGGGGGGUAGAAUUCCAGGUGUAGCGGUGAAAUGCGUAGAGAUCUGGAGGAAUACCGGUGGCGAAGGCGGCCCCCUGGACAAAGACUGACGCUCAGGUGCGAAAGCGUGGGGAGCAAACAGGAUUAGAUACCCUGGUAGUCCACGCCGUAAACGAUGUCGAUUUGGAGGUUGUGCCCUUGAGGCGUGGCUUCCGGAGCUAACGCGUUAAAUCGACCGCCUGGGGAGUACGGCCGCAAGGUUAAAACUCAAAUGAAUUGACGGGGGCCCGCACAAGCGGUGGAGCAUGUGGUUUAAUUCGAUGCAACGCGAAGAACCUUACCUGGUCUUGACAUCCACAGAACUUUCCAGAGAUGGAUUGGUGCCUUCGGGAACUGUGAGACAGGUGCUGCAUGGCUGUCGUCAGCUCGUGUUGUGAAAUGUUGGGUUAAGUCCCGCAACGAGCGCAACCCUUAUCCUUUGUUGCCAGCGGUUAGGCCGGGAACUCAAAGGAGACUGCCAGUGAUAAACUGGAGGAAGGUGGGGAUGACGUCAAGUCAUCAUGGCCCUUACGACCAGGGCUACACACGUGCUACAAUGGCAUAUACAAAGAGAAGCGACCUCGCGAGAGCAAGCGGACCUCAUAAAGUAUGUCGUAGUCCGGAUUGGAGUCUGCAACUCGACUCCAUGAAGUCGGAAUCGCUAGUAAUCGUAGAUCAGAAUGCUACGGUGAAUACGUUCCCGGGCCUUGUACACACCGCCCGUCACACCAUGGGAGUGGGUUGCAAAAGAAGUAGGUAGCUUAACCUUCGGGAGGGCGCUUACCACUUUGUGAUUCAUGACUGGGGUGAAGUCGUAACAAGGUAACCG
This 1510-nucleotide ribosomal RNA is filed under the name Klebsiella pneumoniae ISC21. Its description in RNAcentral is "SSU rRNA". It matches the Rfam family "Bacterial small subunit ribosomal RNA". Lineage: Bacteria; Pseudomonadati; Pseudomonadota; Gammaproteobacteria; Enterobacterales; Enterobacteriaceae. The record is from RNAcentral.